RNAcentral lists this ribosomal RNA (626 nucleotides) under uncultured bacterium. RNAcentral describes it as "bacterial SSU rRNA". It matches the Rfam family "Bacterial small subunit ribosomal RNA", at positions 47 to 662 of the family's 1533-position model. The record is from RNAcentral.
CCUAACACAUGCAAGUCGAACGGUAACAGGAAGAAGCUUGCUUCUUUGCUGACGAGUGGCGGACGGGUGAGUAAUGUCUGGGAAACUGCCUGAUGGAGGGGGAUAACUACUGGAAACGGUAGCUAAUACCGCAUAACGUCGCAAGACCAAAGAGGGGGACCUUCGGGCCUCUUGCCAUCGGAUGUGCCCAGAUGGGAUUAGCUAGUAGGUGGGGUAACGGCUCACCUAGGCGACGAUCCCUAGCUGGUCUGAGAGGAUGACCAGCCACACUGGAACUGAGACACGGUCCAGACUCCUACGGGAGGCAGCAGUGGGGAAUAUUGCACAAUGGGCGCAAGCCUGAUGCAGCCAUGCCGCGUGUAUGAAGAAGGCCUUCGGGUUGUAGAGUACUUUCAGCGGGGGGGAAGGGAGUAAAGUUAAUACCUUUGCUCAUUGACGUUACCCGCAGAAGAAGCACCGGCUAACUCCGUGCCAGCAGCCGCGGUAAUACGGAGGGUGCAAGCGUUAAUCGGAAUUACUGGGCGUAAAGCGCACGCAGGCGGUUUGUUAAGUCAGAUGUGAAAUCCCCGGGCUCAACCUGGGAACUGCAUCUGAUACUGGCAAGCUUGAGUCUCGUAGAGGGGGGU